RNAcentral lists this transfer RNA (73 nucleotides) under Monodelphis domestica (gray short-tailed opossum). It matches the Rfam family "tRNA". Rfam says of the family: Transfer RNA (tRNA) molecules are approximately 80 nucleotides in length. Their secondary structure includes four short double-helical elements and three loops (D, anti-codon, and T loops). Lineage: Eukaryota; Metazoa; Chordata; Mammalia; Didelphimorphia; Didelphidae. The record is from Rfam by way of RNAcentral.
AUCUAGGUAGCACAGAGGCUAGAGCAUCAGACCUAGAAUCUGAAGGACCUGGAUUCAAAUCCGGCCUCAGAUA